RNAcentral lists this unclassified non-coding RNA (232 nucleotides) under Hevea brasiliensis (rubber tree). The record is from RNAcentral. Lineage: Eukaryota; Viridiplantae; Streptophyta; Magnoliopsida; Malpighiales; Euphorbiaceae.
AACCAGUUCUAACAGUGUUCAAAUGCUUUAUGACAGAAAUUAACGCAAUAUGCUGCAGGUGGAAAAACAGACCUUUUGUGUCGCUGCUGAUUUGUGCAUAACGUGUAUCAGCGAAGCCAAGCUUAGCACCUAGAGAGGAGGUGGAAUGAUUCUGCUGCGAGGGAGUUGGUGAACUGGGAACUGGAGAAGAUGCAUUCUUUGUCGAUUGAAUUUUGCCUUUGGCAAUCACAAA